RNAcentral lists this long non-coding RNA (286 nucleotides) under Carica papaya (papaya). RNAcentral describes it as "long non-coding RNA (CPAP_LNC006400)". The record is from RNAcentral. Lineage: Eukaryota; Viridiplantae; Streptophyta; Magnoliopsida; Brassicales; Caricaceae.
UAGGGAUGCCCUCGCUACACUUGAACCCUUUCAUUUAUCAUUCUUAAUUAUGGGCCGUCCUCAUAUCCUAUCCGAUAUUAGCGUCAAUUUACCAAACCUCAAUAUCCCGUCUGGUAUGAGAGUGAAGCGGGCCGUCCCCAUAUCCCGUCUGGUAUGAGCACCAAAUUAUCAAGUCUCCAUACCCCGUUCAGUAUGAGAGAAUGUUCACGGUAGGGUUUUCUAUGUACCCGGUCCAUCCACCAUCUCCCAGGAUAUCCAGUAAGACUGUCUUUUCAUUUAAUCAUUU